AUUUAUAUAGUUUAAAAUAAAACAAUACAUUUUCAUUGUAUAAAUAAUAUAAAUACUUAUUUAUAAAUA
RNAcentral lists this transfer RNA (69 nucleotides) under Anabropsis (Apteranabropsis) sp. QS-2017. Its description in RNAcentral is "Apteranabropsis sp. QS-2017 tRNA-Glu". RNAcentral also lists the same sequence under 4 other names. The record is from RNAcentral. Lineage: Eukaryota; Metazoa; Arthropoda; Insecta; Orthoptera; Anostostomatidae.